UACAGAGGGUGCGAGCGUUAAUCGGAAUUACUGGGCGUAAAGGGUGCGUAGGUGGUUUUCUAAGUUGGGUGUGAAAGUCCUGGGCUUAACCUGGGGAUUGCGCUCAAUACUGGGAAGCUAGAGUACUGUAGAGGAAAGUGGAAUUUCCGGUGUAGCGGUGAAAUGCGUAGAUAUCGGAAGGAACAUCAGUGGCGAAGGCGACUUUCUGGACAGCUACUGACACUGAGGCACGAAAGCGUGGGGAGCAAACAGG
RNAcentral lists this ribosomal RNA (253 nucleotides) under uncultured bacterium. RNAcentral describes it as "partial 16S ribosomal RNA". It matches the Rfam family "Bacterial small subunit ribosomal RNA", at positions 524 to 776 of the family's 1533-position model. The record is from RNAcentral.